RNAcentral lists this ribosomal RNA (261 nucleotides) under uncultured bacterium. Its description in RNAcentral is "partial 16S ribosomal RNA". It matches the Rfam family "Bacterial small subunit ribosomal RNA", at positions 793 to 1055 of the family's 1533-position model. The record is from RNAcentral.
GUCCACGCCCUAACGAUGUCAACUGGUUGUUGGGUGGGUUUCUACUCAGUAACGUAGCUAACGCGUGAAGUUGACCGCCUGGGGAGUACGGCCGCAAGGUUGAAACUCAAAGGAAUUGACGGGACCCGCACAAGCGGUGGAUGAUGUGGUUUAAUUCGAUGCAACGCGAAACCUUACCUACCCUUGACAUGCCCCGGAAUCCCGCAGAGAUGCGGGAGUGCUCGAAAGAGAGCCGGGACACAGGUGCUGCAUGGCCGUCGU